CCUACGGGAGGCAGCAGUGGGGAAUAUUGCACAAUGGGGGCAACUCUGAUGCAGCGACGCCGCGUGCGUGAAGAAGUAAUUCGGUAUGUAAAGCUCUAUCAGCAGGGAAGAAAAUGACGGUACCUGAGUAAGAAGCCCCGGCUAACUACGUGCAAGCAGCCGCGGUAAUACGUCGGGGGCAAGCGUUAUCCGGAUUUACUGGGUGUUAAGGGAGUGUAGACGGGAGUACAAGUCUGGAGUGAAAGGCGGGGGCUCAACCCCGGGACUGCUCUGGAAACUGUACGGCUGGAGUGCAGGAGAGGUAAGUGGAAUUCCUAGUGUAGCGGUGAAAUGCGUAGAUAUUAGAAGGAACACCAGUGGCGAAGGCGGCUUACUGGACUGUAACUGACGUUGAGGCUCGAAAGCGUGGGGAGCAAACAGGAUUAGAUACCCCAGUAGUC
RNAcentral lists this ribosomal RNA (440 nucleotides) under uncultured bacterium. RNAcentral's name for it is "partial 16S ribosomal RNA". It matches the Rfam family "Bacterial small subunit ribosomal RNA", at positions 338 to 795 of the family's 1533-position model. The record is from RNAcentral.